GUGGGGGGAGAGGGAGCAUUCUACAGUCCUAUGAUUAGAUCUCUUAGGGUGCCUAUUCCUAUAGACUGUGAGCUUCACAAGUGUUUCUCAGUUUUUUUCUCCCCUCUUAGGUGGGAAAGAAUGGCCAGAGAGGGCUGGAGUUGGGUAUUUCCCUUCCCCACGUGGAAGACUAGAGCCAGAUGGAGUUGGUUAUUUCCCUUCCCUGGGUCAAUUAGGCUCUGAUAAUACCCCAGCAGGUUAUGCUGUGCUUAACUAGUUUCCCCUGAUGGCAGGCCUUGUUAAGAAGAUUAGAGUACUGUGGCCUGUUUCAAAAUGGUUCCUUUUCCUCCUGCCCCUGUCAGAAGACCAAAGGGAUUUUUCUCGGACAAUUUCUAUGGGAACCUGGUCGAGCUCCUGAAGGCAAAUUUCACAAUACUGUGGGGGCCCCCAUGACUGGGUCCCCCUAGGGUUUUUAACUCUCAGACUUGUCUGCCCUGAGCCUCUAGUAAUUCAUCAAAUACGGUGCAGGUUUUCCUACCCCGUCACUGGCUCCUACAGUGGUUUCUGCUCCUGAGUCGGCCCUGAUGAUCAUGAGCAAGAAAUACCCCAAAGUGCACAGAAAGAAGAAAAAAUAAGAUGUUUGAAUAAUUUACAGAAUGGAAUAUAACCCAGAAUUUAUUUGAGUCUUUCCUGCUUCUCUGAGAUCUUAGUAAACUUCAAUGAAACUUCUACUUUCACUUUUUACCGAAUUCGGUAAUCUCCACAUUAUCUUUGUGAAUUCUCCAACAUAGUUACUUACAUUAUGGGCUAACUGUGCUCCUUGGUCCUGUGAAGUCAAUUGACUCUGCCCUGUGUAAGACUUACACAAAAGCAUCAAUCCUUCACCUAUUUCCAGAAAACCGUUCAAUAACAUUUGGCCUUUGUGAUGAAAUAGUUUAUGAUUGAAGAGUAAGUGAAAGAAAGGCGAGAGGAUUCACGACUUGGAUCUUGGAAUUAUCCAUCAUUUUACUGCCACAGUCAGUUUCCUUAUUUGAGCCACUGUAAAGUGUGACCAGCCCAAGAAAAUGCUGUCUGCUGGUCUGACAUCUUGUGCUCUGCUGCAAGGAGCAGGAAAUAAGAAGAAAAUAUAUAAUACUUAUUUACUUGUAUAAUCCAGACACUUCAGUCUUAGAAGUCCAUGGAUCCUGCUCGUCUUUCUUCCUCCUAAGGAUUACAUUUUUGCUUUUUCUUUAAGAAUUAGGAAAAAUCUAUCUUUCCCUAAAUUCCUUCCUGGAGAUUGCCUCCUGGCUAGACCUCAUGCCCUUCAUAAAUUGAAAUGCCUAGUCCAUCUUCUGGAGCACUAGUUCCUGUCAUUUGGUCUCACAUACUAGCACAACCAGCAAGUACUUGUUCUGCAUUAUAAGCAGCAUUUAGGGAUAUCUGAGUAGUAAUGAAAUGUACAGGGUCAAAUACAAAAAGCGGUAUCGUUAUUAGAUGUUGCCCAUCAGGCAGAAUGAAUUCUGAGUUUAAGUCAUCUUUCAUAAUUCUUUCAUCUUCUCAGACAGAGCCCAUCAAUGUCUCGGGCUCCUAUUGGCUAGGCAACAGCAUCUUCAGGUGGGAGCCUGGCCUCCCUAGGACCCCUCCCCAGACCACGUGCCUUCUAUAGGAGGCGAAUCAGUAGUAGCAUGAGUUUAUACUCAAAUAGGUCGGAUUUGCUCUGCACUUCACUCCCGCCUUGUUGAGACAGUAUAUUCUGCUGGAGCAGGUUAAUAUUUUCUUCCUUGCAAUUCAGCUUCAAGAUGGCAAACUCUAUUAUGCAAGAUUGAAUACUGACUCAUCCACUUACUAUGUGACCCUGGUUAAUUAACUUACUCUUUUUUGACCUCAAUUCCAUCACCUAUAAAAUCAUCAACAUUGUUCUUGCUGCUGCAAAGACAAAUUCUACCCUCUGAAAAUUCCAACUAAUCCCUUGCUUUUUUUUUCUGAAAUCUACCCCAUAUAUAUAUAUAUAUAUACGAUCUUCUUGACACUGAGGGAUAGUAACAUUGAGUUCUUUUUAUGGUGACACCUGUUCUUAUAGAAAAAUAAAAAUAUUAGAAAGCUUAUUUUAAUCUGAAUUCCAAAUUGUCCUGGAUGACAUUUCUAACAAGAGGGGCAGGGACUAUCUAUUUCCAUCCUCAGGUGACUUAGCGGUACACACAUCACCUUUGGCUCACCAUAUUAAGCUUGAUCUUCCAGCAUCCGUUAUUACCUCAGCCAUGUGGCCUUACUCACUGAGGGCAGAAGGAAUUGAUUCUCCUUUGAUUUUUUUCUUCCCUAAGGGCAAUAAUUGUGGGAAGGGAGAGGUGCGGGUAAGAUGGGAGAAUCAUGUCUCUUGUACAGCUUUUCUAAGAACACUUCUAUGUUAGCCACUCCUGAAAUGACAAUGUAGAUGGGCCAGUUUUGCCAUUUUUGCAAACUGCAUGUAUGACAAAUAUCUCUCCUAUGAUCCAUGAAUAUAAGUAUAUUUUUUCAUCCUUGUUGACAAAGAAUCUCAAGGUGAAUAGUAUAUUAGCUUCCAUCUAAAUUACCACAUACCCCUUCAAAUGCUGUUAGGAAUUCUGCCCUAAUUUACUGAUUUACAAUCAUCUAUACUCACUAAUGCAGGACCUAGCCUUAGACUCACUCAAUUCUCUUUCUCCAACGCUUGGAUUGUCGGCAACAUUUCAGCAUCCUAUAGUAACCACUACUCAAAAUCCUCUUCUCCUGUUCCUACAAAUGCCUCUGGUUUCUUUCUUCUCUACCGAGUUUCAAUUCUUGCUUGAUAGCCAGCCACAUAAUAGCAGUCUUCUCUUCAGGAAAUUCUGUCGCGGCAGAUGAAAAAACCUACUCAAAUGUGCCAAGAAUGACAAUUUGUUAAAACCAUUUUUAAAAAUAUAUUCUCUACCUCCUCCUCC
Long non-coding RNA from Equus caballus (horse), 2894 nucleotides. NCBI's taxonomy places the organism in Eukaryota, Metazoa, Chordata, Mammalia, Perissodactyla, Equidae. The record is from Ensembl.